This 160-nucleotide small RNA is filed under the name Celeribacter persicus. Its description in RNAcentral is "6S / SsrS RNA". The record is from RNAcentral. Lineage: Bacteria; Pseudomonadati; Pseudomonadota; Alphaproteobacteria; Rhodobacterales; Roseobacteraceae.
CGGGAUCUGCUCUUCUCGUACACAUGGGCGCAAGACUCCGGUGGCCUUACGCAACCGAAUGGGAGCUGGCUCUGUCCGGGCCCUGGUCCGGUUACCUGGCGCCCACCUGAUUAUUCAGGCUUCGGGAGCAACGCGCUGCUACGGAUGCUGUGGUCCCCCG